RNAcentral lists this unclassified non-coding RNA (378 nucleotides) under uncultured Chitinophagaceae bacterium. Its description in RNAcentral is "contains 16S-23S intergenic spacer region". Lineage: Bacteria; Pseudomonadati; Bacteroidota; Chitinophagia; Chitinophagales; Chitinophagaceae. The record is from RNAcentral.
UCCGUUUUGUCAACGGCAGUCUCAACAGAGUUCCCGGCCGAACCGCUGGCAACUGUUGAUAAGGGUUGCGCUCGUUGCGGGACUUAACUCAACAUCUCACGACACGAGCUGACGACAGCCAUGCAGCACCUUGCACUCUGCCUGGUUUUACCCAGGAGGCCCGAUCUCUCGGGUUGUCAGAGGCAUUCUAGCCCAGGUAAGGUUCUUCGCGUUGCGUCGAAUUACACCACAUGCUCCACCGCUUGUGCGGGUCCCCGCCAAUUCCUUUGAGUUUCAACCUUGCGGUCGUACUUCCCAGGUGGGAUACUUAAUGCUUUCGCUCAGACACCAACAGUGUAUCGCUGAUGUCGAGUAUCCAUAGUUUAGGGCGUGGACUAC